AGUCUAGUACAUGCCGAAAUAAGGCGAAACCGCGAAUGGCUCAUUAAAUCAGUUAUGGUUCCUUAGAUCGUUUCUUCCUACUUGGAUAACUGUGGCAAUUCUAGAGCUAAUACAUGCAGUGAGCCUGGAACCCUUUGGGUUUACGGGUGCUUUUAUUAGACCAAGAUCGAUCGGGUUUCGGCCCGUAUUGUGUGGUGACUCUGGAUAACUUUGUGCUGAUCGCAUGGCCAUGAGCCGGCGACGUUUCUUUCAAGUGUCUGCCUUAUCAACUUUCGAUGGUAGGUUACUUGCUUACCAUGGUUGUUACGGGUAACGGAAAAUCAGGGUUCGAUUCCGGAGAGGGAGCCUGAGAAACGGCUACCACAUCCAAGGAAGGCAGCAGGCGCGCAAAUUACCCACUCCCGGCACGGGGAGGUAGUGACGAAAGAUAACAAUACGGGACUCUUUUGAGGCCCCGUAAUUGAAAUGAGUACACUCUAAAUCCUUUAACGAGGAUCAAUUGGAGGGCAAGUCUGGUGCCAAGCAACCA
Molecule: ribosomal RNA, 529 nt
Filed under: Hyalomma rufipes
Lineage: Eukaryota; Metazoa; Arthropoda; Arachnida; Ixodida; Ixodidae
Description: SSU rRNA
Rfam family: Eukaryotic small subunit ribosomal RNA
Source: RNAcentral